GGUUAAGCGACUAAGCGUACACGGUGGAUGCCCUGGCAGUCAGAGGCGAUGAAGGACGUGCUAAUCUGCGAUAAGCGUC
This 79-nucleotide ribosomal RNA is filed under the name Citrobacter freundii. Its description in RNAcentral is "partial 23S ribosomal RNA". It matches the Rfam family "Bacterial large subunit ribosomal RNA", at positions 1 to 79 of the family's 2925-position model. RNAcentral also lists the same sequence under 5 other names. The record is from RNAcentral. Lineage: Bacteria; Pseudomonadati; Pseudomonadota; Gammaproteobacteria; Enterobacterales; Enterobacteriaceae.